UGUCCUCUUUAGGAAGGCAAGAUCACCGGUCCAGAAUCAGGCAUAAAAGUGAAUACGUGUUUACAACAGGGAAAUGACAACCGGUUUCUUUUCUGACAUCCAGCACCGAGCUGAAAUCAGGGCAAAACAGCAACACAACACCGUAUGAAUCAACUGCCUCAUCUAUUUCAAAAGUUCUGGGUUCAGCGACCAGAGAAGACCAGUCACUUCACACAGGAAAAUGAAAUGCCUGAGAUAAAAGAGCCUCGGUCGCCAUUGUCCCUUUCUGGCCACAAACUCUUGAUCAUUUCUUCUUAUCCAUACCUUUAGCUGCAGAGAAGAAAGCAAGCGACCUCAUUCUUUUCUCUAGAAAUGUUGAUCAGAAAGAAGACCUGGCCGCCUAGAAGUGUCUUCGGGCUUUGUAAACCGCAUGGGCAGCGGCACCUACUGCAUUCGGUUGCUCAGGCUCCACGACAAAUGCCACCAACUAGUGGCCUGAAUGACAAAAACUUACCAUCUCACAGUCCCUAAGGGUGGAAGCCUGAGACUGAGGUGUCACGGGCUGAUACUUCCGAGGCCUCUCUCCUUGGCGUGUUGUUACCAUCUUCUCUCUGUGUCUUCGCGUGAUCACCUCUCUGCGUGCCUGUGUCCCAACCUGGUCUUCUGAGGCCACCAGGCAUAUGACAUGAGGGCCACUGGAGGACCUCAUUUAAACUCAAUUGCCUCUUUAAAGACCCUUGCUGCAAAUACAGCCAGAUUCUCAGGCACUGGGGGCUAAGACAUUAUUGGGGACAUUAUUUGGUCCAUGGCACAUAUUUGGAGGAGGACUAUUGUCAAAGAUAGGGGAAUCAUCAAAUUUCCUUCCUACAGAGCUAAAACAUGUCAAAGCAUUUCACAUGUUGAAUGCAGGGACUAACCUUGGACACCUGCUGACUUCACGACUCUCAUCAGCCAGUCCCUCAGUGUCACCUGGAGCUGCAACCCUGACUUCCAGGUCACAGUGGACAGGAGCAGCUUUCUGGAAGGAUCCGGAGAGCAGCGAAGACUCAACCCUGCCGAGGACCGUGAGCCGCUUAGAACAUGUCACUGAAGCCACUGAAGGAAUCCCAGCCCAACUCCCCAGGGCCAGAUCCCUAAAGAGCCACAACCACCCAUCACCAGGGGCAAGGCAGGGGUCCGGGGAGACGCGGAGAGCGGUCCGCGGGGUUUGGUGUUGGAGACAGUGAG
Molecule: long non-coding RNA, 1206 nt
Filed under: Marmota monax (woodchuck)
Lineage: Eukaryota; Metazoa; Chordata; Mammalia; Rodentia; Sciuridae
Source: RNAcentral